GACGAACGCUGGCGGCGUGCUUAGCACAUGCAAGUCGAACGGUAAGGCCCUUCGGGGUACACGAGUGGCGAACGGGUGAGUAACACGUGGGUGAUCUGCCCUGCACUUCGGGAUAAGCCUGGGAAACUGGGUCUAAUACCGGAUAGGACCACUGCCUGCAUGGGUGGUGGUGGAAAGCUUUUGCGGUGUGGGAUGGGCCCGCGGCCUAUCAGCUUGUUGGUGGGGUGAUGGCCUACCAAGGCGACGACGGGUAGCCGGCCUGAGAGGGUGACCGGCCACACUGGGACUGGGAUACGGCCCAGACGCCUACGGGAGGCAGCAGUGGGGAAUAUUGCACAAUGGGCGCAAGCCUGAUGCAGCGACGCCGCGUGAGGGAUGACGGCCUUCGGGUUGUAAACCCCUUUCAGCACCGACGAAGCGCAAGUGACGGUAGGUGCAGAAGAAGGACCGGCCAACUACGUGCCAGCCGCCGCCGUAA
Molecule: ribosomal RNA, 478 nt
Filed under: uncultured bacterium
Lineage: Bacteria
Description: partial 16S ribosomal RNA
Rfam family: Bacterial small subunit ribosomal RNA
Source: RNAcentral